This 345-nucleotide long non-coding RNA is filed under the name Rattus norvegicus (Norway rat). RNAcentral describes it as "long non-coding RNA NONRATT001200". The record is from RNAcentral. Lineage: Eukaryota; Metazoa; Chordata; Mammalia; Rodentia; Muridae.
AUUCGACGUGGGCCCACGCUACACGCAGCUGCAGUACAUCGGCGAGGGCGCGUACGGCAUGGUCAGCUCAGCAUAUGACCACGUGCGCAAGACCAGAGUGGCUAUCAAGAAGAUCAGCCCCUUCGAGCAUCAAACCUACUGUCAGCGCACGCUGAGAGAAAUCCAGAUCUUGCUGCGAUUCCGCCAUGAGAAUGUCAUAGGCAUCCGAGACAUCCUCAGAGCACCCACCCUGGAAGCCAUGAGAGAUGUGUAUCCUUUAGCCACAGCUCCAGAGCGAGGCUAAGGAGCUUGGCUUUGCUUUCUGUUGUCGUCUGUUGUGCCACCCUCAAAAAAAAAAAAAAAAAA